GGCGGCAGGCCUAACACAUGCAAGUCGAGCGGUAGCACAGAGAGCUUGCUCUCGGGUGACGAGCGGCGGACGGGUGAGUAAUGUCUGGGAAACUGCCUGAUGGAGGGGGAUAACUACUGGAAACGGUAGCUAAUACCGCAUAACGUCGCAAGACCAAAGUGGGGGACCUUCGGGCCUCAUGCCAUCAGAUGUGCCCAGAUGGGAUUAGCUAGUAGGUGGGGUAAUGGCUCACCUAGGCGACGAUCCCUAGCUGGUCUGAGAGGAUGACCAGCCACACUGGAACUGAGACACGGUCCAGACUCCUACGGGAGGCAGCAGUGGGGAAUAUUGCACAAUGGGCGCAAGCCUGAUGCAGCCAUGCCGCGUGUGUGAAGAAGGCCUUCGGGUUGUAAAGCACUUUCAGCGGGGAGGAAGGCGUUAAGGUUAAUAACCUUGGCGAUUGACGUUACCCGCAGAAGAAGCACCGGCUAACUCCGUGCCAGCAGCCGCGGUAAUACGGAGGGUGCAAGCGUUAAUCGGAAUUACUGGGCGUAAAGCGCUCGCAGGCGGUCUGUCAAGUCGGAUGUGAAAUCCCCGGGCUCAACCUGGGAACUGCAUUCGAAACUGGCAGGCUAGAGUCUUGUAGAGGGGGGUAGAAUUCCAGGUGUAGCGGUGAAAUGCGUAGAGAUCUGGAGGAAUACCGGUGGCGAAGGCGGCCCCCUGGACAAAGACUGACGCUCAGGUGCGAAAGCGUGGGGAGCAAACAGGAUUAGAUACCCUGGUAGUCCACGCCGUAAACGAUGUCGAUUUGGAGGUUGUGCCCUUGAGGCGUGGCUUCCGGAGCUAACGCGUUAAAUCGACCGCCUGGGGAGUACGGCCGCAAGGUUAAAACUCAAAUGAAUUGACGGGGGCCCGCACAAGCGGUGGAGCAUGUGGUUUAAUUCGAUGCAGCGCGAAGAACCUUACCUGGUCUUGACAUCCACAGAACUUAGCAGAGAUGCUUUGGUGCCUUCGGGAACUGUGAGACAGGUGCUGCAUGGCUGUCGUCAGCUCGUGUUGUGAAAUGUUGGGUUAAGUCCCGCAACGAGCGCAACCCUUAUCCUUUGUUGCCAGCGGUUAGGCCGGGAACUCAAAGGAGACUGCCAGUGAUAAACUGGAGGAAGGUGGGGAUGACGUCAAGUCAUCAUGGCCCUUACGACCAGGGCUACACACGUGCUACAAUGGCAUAUACAAAGAGAAGCGACCUCGCGAGAGCAAGCGGACCUCAUAAAGUAUGUCGUAGUCCGGAUUGGAGUCUGCAACUCGACUCCAUGAAGUCGGAAUCGCUAGUAAUCGUAGAUCAGAAUGCUACGGUGAAUACGUUCCCGGGCCUUGUACACACCGCCCGUCACACCAUGGGAGUGGGUUGCAAAAGAAGUAGGUAGCUUAACCUUCGGGAGGGCGCUUACCACUUUGUGAUUCAUGACUGGGGUGAAAU
Molecule: ribosomal RNA, 1456 nt
Filed under: uncultured organism
Description: SSU rRNA
Rfam family: Bacterial small subunit ribosomal RNA
Source: RNAcentral